Molecule: long non-coding RNA, 529 nt
Organism: Dunckerocampus dactyliophorus (ringed pipefish)
Lineage: Eukaryota; Metazoa; Chordata; Actinopteri; Syngnathiformes; Syngnathidae
Exons: 2
Source: RefSeq, a predicted model, not a curated record
UACAGAUCAGUGUGUAGCACAUGCCAAUGGCAACCUUCUUCGCGAAACAUUAUGAACUUCCUGUCCGAUAUGCGUUGAAGGGUGCUCUCGGUCUGCUUUGUCACCGAGCCACACACUCAAGAAGGACAUCCAGAUGCAGGUGGAUGGGGGUGGGAGUGAUGUCCUAGUGAGGACCCUGGCGGCUGCGUUCCGAACCAUUUGGACCCUGUCCUUGUUCCUUCGUCUCCCUGGCCGACGUGAAGACAAUGCGCAAGAUGAUUGUAACAAACAGAUUGUACAAAAAAGCUCCUGCACAAUAAUUUGCCUAUAAUCAUUAUAUGUGAUUGUUUUUUGUCAUUGUGUAAAAAGUAACUUAAUGAGAUUCUUUAGUCCGAAAAGGCGAGUGGCGUUAAUGGCUGUCACCCACAGCUGGUGCACAGACACAUGCACGUCGUGUGCUAUUUUGUCAUUAUUGUAUAGUUUCUUGUUGUCUUUUAUUUAUCUAUUUGUACUUAAGUUCUGUUGUGUUGAUAAACAUCUGUAAAAGAAA